UGGGGAAUAUUGGACAAUGGGGGCAACCCUGAUCCAGCGAUGCCGCGUGUGUGAAGAAGGCCUGCGGGUUGUAAAGCACUUUAGUUAGGGAGGAGAAGGCUAAUGUGAAUAAUGUUAGCUGAAGACGCUACCUAAAGAAUAAGCACCGGCAAACUCUGUGCCAGCAGCCGCGGUAAUACAGAGGGUGCAAGCGUUAAUCGGAGUUACUGGGCGUAAAGAGCACGUAGGCGGUUGAUUAAGUCAGUUGUGAAAGCCCUGGGCUUAACCUGGGAACUGCAAAUGAUACUGGUUAACUAGAGUCGAAGAGAGGGAAGCGGAAUUUCCGGUGUAGCGGUGAAAUGCGUAGAUAUCGGAAGGAACAUCAGUGGCGAAGGCGGCUUCCUGGCUUCAGACUGACGCUGAGGUGCGAAAGCGUGGGGAGCAAACAGG
This 429-nucleotide ribosomal RNA is filed under the name uncultured bacterium. RNAcentral describes it as "bacterial SSU rRNA". It matches the Rfam family "Bacterial small subunit ribosomal RNA", at positions 355 to 776 of the family's 1533-position model. The record is from RNAcentral.